AGUGAACGCUGGCGGUAGGCCUAACACAUGCAAGUCGAACGGCAGCACAGAGGAGCUUGCUCCUUGGGUGGCGAGUGGCGGACGGGUGAGGAAUACAUCGGAAUCUACUCUGUCGUGGGGGAUAACGUAGGGAAACUUACGCUAAUACCGCAUACGACCUACGGGUGAAAGCAGGGGACCUUCGGGCCUUGCGCGAUUGAAUGAGCCGACGUCGGAUUAGCUAGUUGGCGGGGUAAAGGCCCACCAAGGCGACGAUCCGUAGCUGGUCUGAGAGGAUGAUCAGCGACACUGGAACUGAGACACGGUCCAGACUCCUACGGGAGGCAGCAGUGGGGAAUAUUGGACAAUGGGCGCAAGCCUGAUCCAGCCAUACCGCGUGGGUGAAGAAGGCCUUCGGGUUGUAAAGCCCUUUUGUUGGGAAAGAAAUCCAGCUGGCUAAUACCCGGUUGGGAUGACGGUACCCAAAGAAUAAGCACCGGCUAACUUCGUGCCAGCAGCCGCAGUAA
RNAcentral lists this ribosomal RNA (506 nucleotides) under uncultured bacterium. RNAcentral's name for it is "partial 16S ribosomal RNA". It matches the Rfam family "Bacterial small subunit ribosomal RNA", at positions 29 to 523 of the family's 1533-position model. The record is from RNAcentral.